CGGGGUGCACCAGGCGCGAAAACUCUACAAUGCAGGCAACUGCGAUAGGGGAACAUCGAGUGAUACUCAUCUUGGGUGUCUGUCCUCCCGUCUAAAAAACGGGAGUUAGCAAGGGCCGGGCAAGACCGGUGCCAGCCGCCGCGGUAAUACCGGCGGCUCGAGUGGUGGCCGAUAUUAUUGAGUCUAAAGGGUCCGUAGCCGGCUUUGCAAGUCUUUUGGGAAAUCCAGCGGCUUAACCGUUGGUCGUCCGGGAGAUACUACAUUGCUUGGGACUGGGAGAGGUAGGAGGUACUCAGGGGGUAGGAGUGAAAUCCUGUAAUCCUUUGGGGACCACCGGUGGCGAAGGCGUCCUACCAGAACAGGUCCGACGGUGAGGGACGAAAGCUAGGGGCACGAACCGGAUUAGAUACCCGGGUAGUCCUAGCCGUAAACGAUGCUCGCUAGGUGUCACAACAAUCGUGAAUUGUUGUGGUGCCGUAGGGAAGCCGUGAAGCGAGCCACUUGGGAAGUACGACCGCAAGGUUGAAACUUAAAGGAAUUGGCGGGGGAGCACAGCCAGGAAUGA
RNAcentral lists this ribosomal RNA (565 nucleotides) under uncultured archaeon. Its description in RNAcentral is "bacterial SSU rRNA". It matches the Rfam family "Archaeal small subunit ribosomal RNA", at positions 326 to 891 of the family's 1478-position model. The record is from RNAcentral.